AUUGUUACUGACUACGACAUAUGCUCGCACGCAGCCGUAAAGUGAAAGUGUCUCGAAGGUCACGGCUCCUCGGCCUGCGCCCACUGGCCCGCUGGAUGCGUUCUGAGUAAGACGCGUACCUCUAAUUAUUGCUACGUGAGCCUACCUAUCUGCUGUCGUGCUAUCGUGCUACCUAAAACGUGUUGUACAUAAUAAUUAUUUACCUUGUGAAUCCCCCGUUAAUUAUCGGGGCCCAUCUACCCGGUACCGGACGUCUAUCAAGCCCCUUAUUUCUGCCUGGCCUGGCCUACUGCCACAUACAACGUCAAGACACCUACGCCUGGAGCUACGCGACGGAAUUGCAGGACAGUGAUAGUGACGGAACUGAGUUACACACAUUCGGUCGUUUAUUGUGAACCCACCUAUUAAACCUAAGAACCUA
Ostrinia nubilalis (European corn borer) is the source of this 421-nucleotide long non-coding RNA. RefSeq lists it as uncharacterized. NCBI's taxonomy places the organism in Eukaryota, Metazoa, Arthropoda, Insecta, Lepidoptera, Crambidae. The transcript is spliced from 2 exons. The record is from RefSeq and is a predicted model, not a curated record.